CCCUUAGAUGUUCUGGGCUGCACGCGCGCUACACUGACGCACGCAACAGGUGCCUGCUCCGAGAGGACUGGGUAAUCAUUUGAGUGUGCGUCGUGAUGGGGAUAGAAUAUUGUAAUUAUUACUCUUCAACGAGGAAUUCCUAGUAAGCGCCAGUCAGCAGCUUGCGCUGAUUACGUCCCUGCCCUUUGUACACACCGCCCGUCGCUCCUACUGAUGGGUGAUCCGGUGAAUGAUUCGGACUUCAGCGGCUCCCCUGGGGUGCGCCGGAGAAAGUUUUGUGAACCUUAUCACUUGGAGGAAGGAGAAGUCGUAACA
Molecule: ribosomal RNA, 315 nt
Filed under: uncultured eukaryote
Lineage: Eukaryota
Description: partial 18S ribosomal RNA
Rfam family: Eukaryotic small subunit ribosomal RNA
Source: RNAcentral